This 255-nucleotide ribosomal RNA is filed under the name uncultured bacterium. Its description in RNAcentral is "partial 16S ribosomal RNA". It matches the Rfam family "Bacterial small subunit ribosomal RNA", at positions 524 to 776 of the family's 1533-position model. The record is from RNAcentral.
UACGUAGGGUGCAAGCGUUGUCCGGAAUUAUUGGGCGUAAAGAGCUCGUAGGCGGUUCGUCACGUCGGCUGUGAAAUCCCGAGGCUCAACCUCGGGUCUGCAGUCGAUACGGGCGGACUGGAGUACUGCAGGGGAGACUGGAAUUCCUGGUGUAGCGGUGAAAUGCGCAGAUAUCAGGGAGGAACACCGGUGGCGAAGGCGGGUCUCUGGGCAGUAACUGACGCUGAGGAGCGAAAGCAUGGGGGAGCGAACAGG